GGGGGGGGCAAGCGUUUGUUCGGAAUUACUGGGCGUAAAGGGCGCGUAGGCGGUUUGGCAAGUCUCUCGUGAAAUCCCAUGGCUCAACUGUGGAACUGCGGGAGAUACUGCCGGACUUGAGUCCGGGAGAGGGGAGUGGAAUUCCCAGUGUAGCGGUGAAAUGCGUAGAUAUUGGGAGGAACACCGGUGGCGAAGGCGGCUCCCUGGACCGGUACUGACGCUGAGGCGCGAAAGCUAGGGGAGCAAACGGGAUUAGAUACCCCGGUAGUCCUAGCUGUAAACGAUGAGCACUUGGUGUGGCGGGUAUCGACCCCCUGCCGUGCCGGAGCUAACGCAUUAAGUGCUCCGCCUGGGGAGUACGGUCGCAAGGCUG
Molecule: ribosomal RNA, 373 nt
Filed under: uncultured organism
Description: partial 16S ribosomal RNA
Rfam family: Bacterial small subunit ribosomal RNA
Source: RNAcentral